AGAUGAACCAGGGCCAACGGAGGAAGGCUGCCUGCUGACAGCUGCCAUUUCCACAGACUCACUGGGCCAAAGUGAUAGCCAACACUGAGAAGAAGAAUCCAGUGUCCAGAUUUUUCAAAGGGCUGCAGAAGUCUUGUUCUGCUGGAUAUAUAUUUUUAAGUUAGAGCUUGUUGAACAACAGAAGAUUAUAGGACCAGCCAGAGACUCAAGGAGAGCCAAUGGGGGUAUUAUGUUUUUGGAUUUAGCUAACCACUGACUGGAGGAACUGAGACAGCAUACAGUGGCAAAGCCUUUGACAAAUGGACAAGGGAAGAUGGUGAUGGCAACUUAUGUUUACCAUGCAGAUGAAACAGAUCAACACUUUGCCCCAGAGAGCACAUGCUCAUACCACUUUAAGGACGAAUACCCUGAGAAGUGGUUAUGUGUGGAGGUAUCCAAAGGCAAGGCCUUAUUAUUGACUGGAGAACCCAGAUCACAAUUCAAAACAAUUCCAGAACAAUUAAAAUUCACAGAGAAAAAUUGCACAUGCAUAGAGGAAAUGAGAAGAUUAUGAUGGCACAUUAGUAACCAUGGACUAUGGCUUAAAUGAGUGGUCCUUAAACAUUGCUUGCUAGUUUCUCCAUGAACAAGAUUUUAGGAAAAACUUCUGCAUCUUUAAGUUGAUAUCUAAAAUUUGAUCUUCAGUUUAUAACGAAUUGCAAAAGGUAUAAUUUCUGGCAAAUUAAAAACAGUGGCGCUUUUAAAAUUAAUCUGUCAAAUUACUCCGUAAAAUCUAUCCAAAGUAAUCCAAACACAACAGCAAGUUGAGGAUCACAGUCAGUCAUUUAAUAAAGAAUGAUUACAUUUUCCAAUUGAAAAUUGCACAUCAUUCUUUACUCCCUCUAAACUCAUAUUUCCAAGUCCAAUUCCAAUUUUAAUUUCCAUAAACUUCCACAGAAUUUUAUCCUAAAAAAAGACAUUUUGUGCAUGAGCGCCUUUAAUGAUCUCUGAAUCAUACUUCAGUGCAACAAAAAUAUGUGUGUAAAUUGAAAGGUAAAUUGUUUUUAAACAUCUAGUAACCAUAAUGCUUUAAGUAUUAAAUUUGUUUUCUGUAUUGUUAUAAUUAUAAAUAUUAUAGGGCUCAAUUUUUUUUUUUAAAAAAGUAAAAUAAUUACUUACACAAGAAGUAAAAUAUUAUUGGUAAUAAUCUCUAAAUUAUAUGAAUGGGGCUGGGGCUUUUCUCUCCUAUACUUCAUACAUCCAAUGAUGAAAACUACACGUUAUCAUUACUAUAAGUUUCAUUAUAUUGAUAAGACAUGGUCAGUACUAAUUCUAUUCCUAGUUUUUGUUUUCUAUACAUUUGAGCUCAAGAAAAAUUUGUUUAUCUAAAUAAAGGAAUUGGAAUGGAAA
This 1389-nucleotide long non-coding RNA is filed under the name Equus asinus (donkey). RNAcentral describes it as "lncRNA (ENSEASG00005027034.1)". Lineage: Eukaryota; Metazoa; Chordata; Mammalia; Perissodactyla; Equidae. The record is from RNAcentral.